RNAcentral lists this small RNA (471 nucleotides) under Oryza sativa Japonica Group (Japanese rice). Its description in RNAcentral is "misc RNA P0575F10.35-1". Lineage: Eukaryota; Viridiplantae; Streptophyta; Magnoliopsida; Poales; Poaceae. The record is from RNAcentral.
AUUUGCCAUGGUUAGAGUAUUGACUAUUACCAUCGUAGCUGCACAAGACACCAGUCAGAGGCUUUGCGCAAAUUGCAGUGCGACUGUGCAAAUUACAAAUUGCGCAAUCAUAAGCAAAUGGAAAAAAAAAACUCAAAUCUAGAGUUUCCCGACAUGAUUUCGCAGACCAUGCAUAUCGUGGUCAAGACAAGAGGAUCAUUGAUAAAUUCAGUUUCUUGAAGCAAGCAGGUGCAGAGAAGUUGUACCCUAUUUUAUGAGGCAUCACACAAAUCAGCGGCUGGGGAAGCUACGAGCUCUGGAACUCCCUGUCUGUCAUCAGUGUCUAGUUCGUCUCUAGCUAGUUCUCUUGUACUUCUUGACUUGUUAUUGUUGUUCAGGUCAUCUAACUCCUGGGGUUUGUUCAGCGUGCAAGUCAAUAAAUUUGUAUUGUGCUAUUUUGUUAAUGAAAUGAAACGCGAUCGUUUGGUUUUU